RNAcentral lists this long non-coding RNA (1155 nucleotides) under Homo sapiens (human). RNAcentral describes it as "non-protein coding lnc-TUBGCP3-16:1". Lineage: Eukaryota; Metazoa; Chordata; Mammalia; Primates; Hominidae. The record is from RNAcentral.
UCAGCACAGCAAAGGGAUCAAUCAACAAAAUGAAAAGGCAGCCUACUGACAAGGAAAAAACAUUUGGUAAUCACAUACCUAAACAAGGGUUAAUUUAUACAAAACUUAUAAAUACUCAUACAAUUCAACAGUUGAAAAACAAGUACCCAAUUUAAAAAACAGGCAAAGAACCUGAACAGACAUUUCUCUAAAAAGGACAGAAAAAUGCCCAACAGGUAUAUGAAAAGGUGCUCAAUCUCACUAAUCAUCAGAAGCAAGCAACUUAAAAUCACUAUGAGAUACCACCUGGCAUCCAUCAGGAUGGUUAUUUUGAAAAAGACAGGAGGUAACAAAUGUUGGCGAGAGUGUAAAGGGAACCCUGGUACACACUGGGUGGGAAUGUGGAUUGGUAUAGCCCUUAUGGGAAGCGGUAUGGAGGUUCCUAAAUGAAUUACAAAAUUGCACUAGCAUAUGACCCAGCAGUCCAUGUUCUGUGUGCUCUGCUCACCCUCCUGAGCCCCUAAAUUGGCCCGGAAAUCAGGAUCAUGUGCCACAGGCUGAAGAAACAUGCUUUUCUGCAAGUGGGCGAUAGACCCAAAGAAGAUGAAAUCACCACCUCUUACAGCCUGCACUUCCCUGACCCUUGCAGCGUUACUCCCAGUGGGCACUUCCCUGACCCUUGCAGCGUUACUCCCAGUGGGCGCUUCCGUGACCGCCGCAGCGUUACUCCCAGUGGGCGCUUCCGUGACCGCCGCAGCGUUACUCCCAGUGGGCGCUUCCGUGACCGCCGCAGCGUUACUCCCAGUGGGCGCUUCCGUGACCGCCGCAGCGUUACUCCCAGUGGGCGCUUCCGUGACCGCCGCAGCGUUACUCCCAGUGGGCGCUUCCGUGACCGCCGCAGCGUUACUCCCAGUGGGCGCUUCCGUGACCGCCGCAGCGUUACUCCCAGUGGGCGCUUCCGUGACCGCCGCAGCGUUACUCCCCGUGGGCGCUUCCGUGACCGCCGCAGCGUUACUCCCAGUGGGCGCUUCCGUGACCGCCGCAGCGUUACUCCCAGUGGGCGCUUCCGUGACCGCCGCAGCGUUACUCCCAGUGGGCGCUUCCGUGACCGCCGCAGCGUUACUCCCAGUGGGCGCUUCCGUGACCGCCGCAGCGUUACUCCCAGUGGGCGCUUCC